This 253-nucleotide ribosomal RNA is filed under the name uncultured bacterium. RNAcentral's name for it is "partial 16S ribosomal RNA". It matches the Rfam family "Bacterial small subunit ribosomal RNA", at positions 524 to 776 of the family's 1533-position model. The record is from RNAcentral.
UACAGAGGGUGCGAGCGUUAAUCGGAAUUACUGGGCGUAAAGCGCACGUAGGUGGCGACGUAAGUCGGGUGUGAAAGCCCCGGGCUCAACCUGGGAAUUGCAUUCGAGACUGCGUUGCUGGAGUACGGAAGAGGAGGGCGGAAUUCCCGGUGUAGCGGUGAAAUGCGUAGAUAUCGGGAGGAACAUCAGUGGCGAAGGCGGCCCUCUGGUCCAGUACUGACACUCAAGUGCGAAAGCGUGGGGAGCGAUCCGG